GCACCAGCAAAAUCUGGUGCCGGGAUUGGCGUCCUGAUAAUGUACAAGGCGACACACGACGCGCCUAGCGUCUUUUUU
RNAcentral lists this small RNA (78 nucleotides) under Citrobacter portucalensis. Its description in RNAcentral is "isrK Hfq binding RNA". It matches the Rfam family "isrK Hfq binding RNA". The record is from RNAcentral. Lineage: Bacteria; Pseudomonadati; Pseudomonadota; Gammaproteobacteria; Enterobacterales; Enterobacteriaceae.